GUCCCAGAAGGACUAUCCCAUUUGGCAGGGAGCUCCGUAUGCCUCGUUAAAAGAUAUGGCUCCGUCUGACCAAUUUCAGAAUCUUUAGCUGGAACUUUCUUCAAACACUUGAAGAACUCCUCCACCUUCUUCUCUGCCACAUCUUUCACCGACCCCUUAUUAUCCUUCUCUGGUUUCCCCUCAUCAAAGAAAACCAACCCUUUGUCAUUCAUGCCAUUGGGGACCUCCCCUUUCGUCUCGGGCUUAACCCCCACUACCUUUU
This 262-nucleotide unclassified non-coding RNA is filed under the name Hevea brasiliensis (rubber tree). Lineage: Eukaryota; Viridiplantae; Streptophyta; Magnoliopsida; Malpighiales; Euphorbiaceae. The record is from RNAcentral.